This is a long non-coding RNA of Hyaena hyaena (striped hyena), 794 nucleotides long. RefSeq lists it as uncharacterized. Lineage: Eukaryota; Metazoa; Chordata; Mammalia; Carnivora; Hyaenidae. The record is from RefSeq and is a predicted model, not a curated record. The transcript has 4 exons.
UAGGGUUUUACUCAUUAAAGUAAUUCCACGAUACAUCAAUUAGGAAAGCAAAGUAGCCUUUUAGGAAGCAAAUAACGUCCAUGUCCCAAUUCCAUAAUGUUUCUCCUCACGUCGGUGUGAGAGGCACGUCACACGUCGGAGCCCUGACUCCGCUCGAUGAGGAGGACUGACGUUCGUCCUGCAACCCCGCCCGCCUCUGGAAGCGGUGGCCUUACUGCUAACCGACGCCGAAUGACGCAGGUCGCGACGCUGAGCUCACAGCGGAGACGCCGAAUGACGCAGGUCGCGACGCUGAGCUCGUCUACUGUCUUCCCGGUCCGACGGCUCCAAGAAGGGAGACCCUGAGCUCCUCCGUGGCACCAGCCGUACUCACCACUGCAACCAAGAAGGGGUCCAAGAGCCCAGCACAACUGUUCGCUGAGGGGACACGCGGGUUUCUCCGGUCCCCAGACGUCCCGUUUUGAAAGGAAGCGCACCAGGGGCACCCGCUGGUGCUUGGAGGAGCUGGGACCCCCCUCGGGCACGCACGUGGAAGGAUGGGCAAAUCCUGAGACUCCUGGAGACGAACCAGAAAUGGUGCUGCCUCGGAGAAGUGGGGAGAAUGUCAUGUCUGGUCGUGCAGGGCCACGCGAGACCCACAGAGACCUGACCAACCUUGAACCUGCUUUCACUCGGAGGCUCUUCGGGACGGAGGGGGAAUGUCUACACUAGUGCUCUAUCAAAUGUGUAUAUAAUUUAACCUGAGUCAUAAAACCAGUGUCAUCUUUGGAAACCCUGAAGAAUAAAUCAUUACU